This is a long non-coding RNA of Anguilla anguilla (European eel), 851 nucleotides long. RefSeq lists it as uncharacterized. The transcript has 3 exons. The record is from RefSeq and is a predicted model, not a curated record. Lineage: Eukaryota; Metazoa; Chordata; Actinopteri; Anguilliformes; Anguillidae.
UUGGGAUUAGAUUCCAGAAGUGUUUGUUCCUUGUUGGUUGCCGCAAUGAUGAAUGCUAAGACGCCUAGAUACAGCGAAGCAAAAAGACAUGUUGACAGGGGUCGUUUAAUAACUAGAGUCAACCUUGCAAUUGCUUGUCUUGGGUGGCAUCAGUUGAUGUUUGCCAAGGGGAUGAAAAGUGACGUGGAGUUGGCCUGUGUUCUGUUUGACCUAAAGGGCUGCUGGGUGACUCAUCAGGAACUGCUGUAAUUCAUGGAGGAGCCCCACGGACUGCAGUGUGGAGACCCCUGCACGUCUGCCCAAGUUGUUCUGCAGCCCCACUAUUGAUUGCAUUCUUACUGAGAAAAUGCACGUCUGUCUGCUCUCUUGCGCCCUGCUGACUGAUGAAUUCCCCUUAUUCUUGGCCUUUGCACAAAGGAACCUUGAAGCCAAUGUUUCCUCUUUUUUUGGGUAGAUUUCAACCCAUUGUUGUUUUGUGUGUAAAUUGCAAACUGUGCAGAAUUGAUUGAAUCCGUCUGUGUGGAGUGUACCAGGCGGAUACUGGAAGAUUUUGUUUAACAUUCUGUCUGUGUUUACCUUUGUUUCUCUCCAUGUGUUAGGAAGCCGGUUGUUUUUCAUGGGGGUAGCCACUAAAUGUAUGCUUAGUCAGGUGAUUGUUCCAAUCCAGUAUCCAUAGUCCCCAUAGACCCUUGUGAGCUUUUUGUAACCAAAAAUGCAUUUCACCAAUAUUAUGAUCAAUGUUCUCUAACCUUCUAGGCUAUGCAUUUUACUGGUUAUCACAACAAAUAAUAAGUGUAUUGUGUUGCAUUAUUGUCUGUCUGUACUCUACGUAUUAGCAUUUUGUAUUACUG